This 253-nucleotide ribosomal RNA is filed under the name uncultured bacterium. RNAcentral's name for it is "partial 16S ribosomal RNA". It matches the Rfam family "Bacterial small subunit ribosomal RNA", at positions 524 to 776 of the family's 1533-position model. The record is from RNAcentral.
UACGGGGGGUGCGAGCGUUGUCCGGAAUCACUGGGCGUAAAGGGCGCGUAGGUGGCCAACUAAGUCAGACGUGAAAUCCCUCAGCUUAACUGGGGAACUGCGUCUGAUACUGGAUGGCUUGAGUUUGGGAGAGGGAUGCGGAAUUCCAGGUGUAGCGGUGAAAUGCGUAGAUAUCUGGAGGAACACCGGUGGCGAAGGCGGCAUCCUGGACCAACACUGACACUGAGGAGCGAAAGCCAGGGGAGCAAACGGG